UCCGGUGUCGUCUAGUGGCUGGGAUACCUGGCUCUCGCCCAGGAGGCCCUGGGUUCGAUUCCCGGCACCGGAA
Schistocerca americana (American grasshopper) is the source of this 73-nucleotide non-coding RNA. The record is from the annotation of a RefSeq genome assembly. Lineage: Eukaryota; Metazoa; Arthropoda; Insecta; Orthoptera; Acrididae.